CGGUAAUACGUAGGGUGCAAGCGUUAAUCGGAAUUACUGGGCGUAAAGCGUGCGCAGGCGGUUAUGCAAGACAGAUGUGAAAUCCCCGGGCUCAACCUGGGAACUGCAUUUGUGACUGCAUAGCUAGAGUACGGUAGAGGGGGAUGGAAUUCCGCGUGUAGCAGUGAAAUGCGUAGAUAUGCGGAGGAACACCGAUGGCGAAGGCAAUCCCCUGGACCUGUACUGACGCUCAUGCACGAAAGCGUGGGGAGCAAACGGGAUUAGAUACCCUGGUAGUCCACGCCCUAAACGAUGUCAACUGGUUGUUGGACGGCUUGCUGUUCAGUAACGAAGCUAACGCGUGAAGUUGACCGCCUGGGGAGUACGGCCGCAAGGUUGAA
RNAcentral lists this ribosomal RNA (380 nucleotides) under uncultured bacterium. RNAcentral's name for it is "bacterial SSU rRNA". It matches the Rfam family "Bacterial small subunit ribosomal RNA", at positions 518 to 898 of the family's 1533-position model. The record is from RNAcentral.